GAUGAACGCUGGCGGCGUGCCUAAUACAUGCAAGUCGAACGAGGUCUUCGGACCGAGUGGCGAACGGGUGAGUAACACGUUGGUACCUACCCCGAAGUGGGGAAUAACUGGCCGAAAGGUCGGCUAAUACCGCAUAAUACCGCAAGGUUAAAGCAGUAAUGCGCUUCGGGAGGGGCCUGCGUCCCAUUAGCUAGUUGGUGAGGUAAUUGCUCACCAAGGCAACGAUGGGUAGCUGGAUCGAGAGGUUGACCAGCCACACUGGGACUGAGAUACGGCCAGACUCCUACGGGAGGCAGCAGUAAGGAUCUUCCACAUGGACGAAGUCUGAUGGAGCAACGCCGCGUGCAGGAUGACGGCCUU
RNAcentral lists this ribosomal RNA (360 nucleotides) under uncultured bacterium. RNAcentral's name for it is "bacterial SSU rRNA". It matches the Rfam family "Bacterial small subunit ribosomal RNA", at positions 28 to 418 of the family's 1533-position model. The record is from RNAcentral.